AGAUACCCAAUGACUCAAAAGCAGAAAUAUCAGCCAACACCUAUCUUCUCUUUGUGUAAAAACUUAUCUGAGAUAAGCAAACUAAAGAAGUGUAAAAAGCUUUGAACCCAUCCAUAGAGAUUCUUUGAACCUUCUCCAUAGUCAAAGCGAUCCCAAAAAGAAACUUAGCGAUUCUGGAUCCCAACCAUCUGAUCCUUAUUUGCCAUAUUCCUCACUGAUUCUAGAGCUCCAUCUACCCAAACGUAAGAGAUUUGUUGUCUUCUUCCUUCCAAAGUCAAGGUGCGAGCUGCUCUGUUAACCGCACGAGAAACAAAAAAGUAAGAGACUUUUUCGAAAUUAUUUUCAAGGAUACGAAUAUUGUGCAUAAUCGGUCUGAGAAUAGAUUUAUCUUCAAAUGUUAUCUUGAGUUUUUUUAUUAUCGACAGGGAGUCCCCUUCCAAGAAAAGACGUCGAAAACCCAUUUCAAGCGCAAAAAGCAUACCCUUUCGCACACCCUUGCUUCAGCUACAAACGCGUCGACAACAUCCUCAAAAAGGUAAGUACACGCCCCUACGAUUUCACUUUCUAAAUUUCUAGCUAAAACUGAUGUAAUAAAGUUUCUAGAGUCACUUUGAAAAGAUGCGUCAAAAUUUAUCUUAAUAAUACCAAUGUUUGGGGGACUCGCCCCUACGAUUUCACUUUCAAAAUUUCUAGCUAAAACUGGUGUAAUAGAGUUUCUAGAGUCACUUUGAAAAGAUGUGUCAAAAUUUAUAUUAAUAAUACCAAUGUUUGGGGGACUCCAUAGCUCCUUCGACAAUGAUCUAGAAAAAAUCUAGAGGUUCUCUUGGCUUAAUAUUAUCUCUCGGCUGUAGCCUCAAAUAAAACCUAACAAUUCUUGCAAAGAAAACUUAACACAUUUAUGAAUAAGUUUAUUUCUUCGAUACCAUAGGGCCCAUAAAGAAAUAGCGAUAAUCUGUCUGUUAUGUUCAUUUGCUGUAUAAAAAGUGCAAAUAAAUCAAGUUUUACAAUUUGAGGUACCCCCAACUGGAGCAAGCGUGAUUUGAAGAGAAGCCCAAACUUGCUGUAAUAUACCACAAGACCACAGCAAAUGGUCAAAGUCCUCCGGCGCUUCCUUGCAAAUUGGACAAACGACAUCAACAAUUAAUUUCCUCUGAAACAGAUUACAAAAAUGAGGCACAAAAUUAUUAAACAAUCUCUAUAUGUGUAUUUUUAUUUUAGCUGGAAUGUGCAUAGGCCAAAAAGAUUUGCAGAAAUCCUUGUAAUUUUCUGUAUUAGGGAAGUUGUAAUUAUUAUUUUGUAAAUGUUUUGUAACUAGGACCCGAUACCCACUUUUCGCUGAGUACACCCCAGUGGCCUUAUGUUUCCAGACCAGCAUAUCAUCCGAUCUAACACCAGAAAUCGGAAUGGAGAAAAUAGGAAUCACUUGAUCAUCAUCAAGAAGACUGCAAAUCAGAUCCUUAUUCCAGGUAUUGGUCUCUGCCAAUUAAUUGAUUCAUAGUCUUCCAAUUAGGCUUAAUAUUCGGUACUGAUAUAUGCUAUUCACUGGACCAGGCAGCCAAGGAUCAUUGCAUAUAUUAACACAAACACCAUUGCCAAAAUAUGCCAAAAUAUACCCUUUGCAAUCAAAUCUCGAGCAUUACAAAUGCUUCUCCAAGUAAACGAUGGGUAAGAACCGAUUUUUGCCGAUAAGAUAUCUGAAAAAUGGAUAAUAUCUAGCUUUCAAAACUUUAAUUAAAAGGCAAUUAGGCUGGGAUAAAGGAUGCCAAACUUGUUUUGCUAAUAAUGUCGUAUUAAACAAAAACAAAUUUCUAAAUCCCAGCCCACCAACACAUUUCGGUUUAUACAAAGCAUCCCAAUUGCUCCAAUGAAUGCAUUCAGUAGAUUUAUUAUUAAACCACCAGAAUUUAUUCAUUAUGCCUUUUAACUUGCGACAUAAAGAUUUUGGCAAAGCAAAGCAUUGCAUGACAUAAAAUGGUAUAGCUUGUAAAACUGAUUUAAUGAAAACCUCCUUACCCCCCAUUGAGAGAUAGCGUAAGCUCCACCCAUCAAUUUUUUUUCUGAACUGAUUAACAAAGUUAGCAAAAGCCCAUGUCUUUUUCCGUCCAACCAUUAUUUGUAAACCUAAACACUUCUCAAGAUUUGAAGCCACCAGAACACCCAAUAGGUUGGUUAUAAUCUCUCUGUCAUUAGACUCCACAUAAGCCCCAAAAUAGAUAAGAGAUUUAUCGAAAUUCACCCGUCGUCCCGAAACCAUCUCAUACUCCUGAAUAAUAUUUCAAACCACACUAGCUCCCUCACUUGAGGCAUCCCAAAAAAAAUUGCAGUUAUCCACAAAAAACAAGUGGUUAAUCGAAUGUCUUUCCCUUCCAAUAGGAGCACCCUUCAUCAGCCCUUUAUGUUUGCCUUCAUUAAGCAGUGUAGAAGAACCCUUAGCACAAAUUAAAAAGAGAUAAGGGCUGAGUGGAUCGCCCUAUCUUAAACCUCACGAAGGUGAGAACCAAUCACUAUUAGACCUAUUAAGACUCACGGAAUAGGAGACAGAACAAACAUAUCUCAUAAUAAAGAUGACUUUAUCAGUAUGAAAACCCAAAUGAGUCAUCAUUCCAGCCAAAAAUUCUACUCAACAUGAUCGUAUGUUUUACUCAUAUCGAAUUUAAGCGCAAAAUUCCCUUUUUUACCUUUCUUAUUCAUUUUAAAGGAGUGAAAAACCUCAUAAGCAAUUAACACAUUAUCCGAAAUAUGUCUUCUUGGGAUGAA
RNAcentral lists this long non-coding RNA (2757 nucleotides) under Gossypium barbadense (sea-island cotton). Its description in RNAcentral is "long non-coding RNA (GBAR_LNC011549)". Lineage: Eukaryota; Viridiplantae; Streptophyta; Magnoliopsida; Malvales; Malvaceae. The record is from RNAcentral.